This 460-nucleotide ribosomal RNA is filed under the name uncultured bacterium. Its description in RNAcentral is "partial 16S ribosomal RNA". It matches the Rfam family "Bacterial small subunit ribosomal RNA", at positions 338 to 795 of the family's 1533-position model. The record is from RNAcentral.
CCUACGGGUGGCAGCAGUGAGGAAUAUUGGUCAAUGGACGAGAGUCUGGACCAGCCAAGUAGCGUGAAGGAUGACUGCCCUAUGGGUUUUAAACUUCUUUUAUAAAGGAAUAAAACGAGGCACGUGUGCCUUUUUGCAUGUACUUUAUGAAUAAGGAUCGGCUAACUCCGUGCCAGCAGCCGCGGUAAUACGGAGGAUACGAGCGUUAUCCGGAUUUAUUGGGUUUAACGGGAGCGUAGAUGGGUUGUUAAGUCAGUUGUGAAAGUUUGCGGCUCAACCGUAAAAUUGCAAUUGAUACUGGAAGUCUUGAGUACAGUUGAGGUAGGCGGAAUUCGUGGUGUAGCGGUGAAAUGCUUAGAUAUCACGAAGAACCCCGAUUGCGAAGGCAGCUUACUAACCUGUGACUGACAUUGAUGCUCGAAAGUGUGGGUAUCAAACAGGAUUAGAUACCCGAGUAGUC